Molecule: transfer-messenger RNA, 361 nt
Filed under: Opitutaceae
Lineage: Bacteria; Pseudomonadati; Verrucomicrobiota; Opitutia; Opitutales
Also listed under: 1 other name
Description: g UBA5691 X1 Standard tmRNA
Rfam family: transfer-messenger RNA
About the family: Bacterial tmRNA, also known as 10Sa RNA or SsrA, is named for its dual tRNA and mRNA-like properties.
Source: RNAcentral
GGGGGUGUUCUGGAUUCGACCUUAAGUUGGAGCGUCUGGCUGCAUGCCGAGGAUGAUGGUUGGCCUCGCAAAAAUAUCCAUCAAAACAAUAAAUGGCACACAUGAAGAAAUGCCUCUAGCUGCAUAAUAGUUCAGCUACGUUCCCCUGCCGAUACUCGCUAGGCAGACGGAGCGACGACUAGCGAGCAUAGCUUAGGCGGCUGUCUGCUGCGCCCUAGCCGUACUUCAACAGCGGACUGGCUGAUCCAAGCAGCGCGGUUUCGUCGCGGCUAGAUCGGCGAGAUAAAAAACGAGAACAAGCAUGUAGACGCCUUAUGUGAAGGCUUAGGGGACGCGGGUUCAAUUCCCGCCACCUCCACCA